GCUGCAGAAAUAUAAGUGUGGAGAGUACCAAGACCUCGUUGAAUCUGUGCUGGGGGAGAAGCUGCAUCUUGAGGAGGGGAAGCUGGCAGAGCAGUGGGCGCUAGCUGAGAAGCUCAGGGAAUACAAUAUCCGAAUUCGAGAUCAGGAGCAACAACUGACCCAUUUACGGCACCAGGUACAGGAAGGGAGAGAAGUGUCGGUCCUACUCCAUCAGCACCUCAGUGACCUCCUCACACAUGACG
This is a long non-coding RNA of Diceros bicornis minor, 242 nucleotides long. RefSeq lists it as uncharacterized. Lineage: Eukaryota; Metazoa; Chordata; Mammalia; Perissodactyla; Rhinocerotidae. The record is from RefSeq and is a predicted model, not a curated record. The transcript has 3 exons.